RNAcentral lists this ribosomal RNA (430 nucleotides) under Acidobacteriota bacterium. Its description in RNAcentral is "Acidobacteria bacterium partial 16S ribosomal RNA". It matches the Rfam family "Bacterial small subunit ribosomal RNA", at positions 355 to 776 of the family's 1533-position model. The record is from RNAcentral. Lineage: Bacteria; Pseudomonadati; Acidobacteriota.
UGGGGAAUAUUGGACAAUGGGCGAAAGCCUGAUCCAGCCAUGCCGCGUGUGUGAAGAAGGCCUUUUGGUUGUAAAGCACUUUAAGCUAGGAGGAGGCUACUUGGAUUAAUACUCUAGGAUAGUGGACGUUACUCGCAGAAUAAGCACCGGCUAACUCUGUGCCAGCAGCCGCGGUAAUACAGAGGGUGCGAGCGUUAAUCGGAUUUACUGGGCGUAAAGCGUGCGUAGGCGGCUUUUUAAGUCGGAUGUGAAAUCCCUGAGCUUAACUUAGGAAUUGCAUUCGAUACUGGGAAGCUAGAGUAUGGGAGAGGAUGGUAGAAUUCCAGGUGUAGCGGUGAAAUGCGUAGAGAUCUGGAGGAAUACCGAUGGCGAAGGCAGCCAUCUGGCCUAAUACUGACGCUGAGGUACGAAAGCAUGGGGAGCAAACAGG